GCUUACACAUGCAAGUCGAGGGGUAUUGGUUUUCGGACCAAGAGACCGGCGCACGGGUGCGUAACGCGUAUGCAAUCUACCUUUUGCAGAGGGAUAGCCCAGAGAAAUUUGGAUUAAUACCUCAUAGUAUAGUACCUUGGCAUCAAGGAGCUAUUAAAGUCACAACGGCAAAAGAUGAGCAUGCGUCCCAUUAGCUAGUUGGUAAGGUAACGGCUUACCAAGGCGACGAUGGGUAGGGGUCCUGAGAGGGAGAUCCCCCACACUGGUACUGAGACACGGACCAGACUCCUACGGGAGGCAGCAGUGAGGAAUAUUGGACAAUGGGCGCAAGCCUGAUCCAGCCAUGCCGCGUGCAGGAUGACGGUCCUAUGGAUUGUAAACUGCUUUUAUACAGGAAGAAACACUGGUUCGUGAACCAGCUUGACGGUACUGUAAGAAUAAGGAUCGGCUAACUCCGUGCCAGCAGCCGCGGUAAUACGGAGGAUCCAAGCGUUAUCCGGAAUCAUUGGGUUUAAAGGGUCCGUAGGCGGUUUGGUAAGUCAGUGGUGAAAGCCCAUCGCUCAACGGUGGAACGGCCAUUGAUACUGCCAGACUUGAAUUACUGGGAAGUAACUAGAAUAUGUAGUGUAGCGGUGAAAUGCUUAGAGAUUACAUGGAAUACCAAUUGCGAAGGCAGGUUACUACNANUGGAUUGACGCUGAUGGACGAAAGCGUGGGUAGCGAACAGGAUUAGAUACCCUGGUAGUCCACGCCGUAAACGAUGGAUACUAGCUGUUGGGAGUAAUCUCAGUGGCUAAGCGAAAGUGAUAAGUAUCCCACCUGGGGAGUACGAACGCAAGNNUGAAACUCAAAGGAAUUGACGGGGGCCCGCACAAGCGGUGGAGCAUGUGGUUUAAUUCGAUGAUACGCGAGGAACCUUACCAAGGCUUAAAUGUAGAUUGACCGGUUUGGAAACAGACCNNUUCGCAAGANAAUUUACAAGGUGCUGCAUGGNNGUCGUCAGCUCGUGCCGNGAGGUGUCAGGUUAAGUCCUAUAACGAGCGCAACCCCC
Molecule: ribosomal RNA, 1051 nt
Filed under: Flavobacterium sp.
Lineage: Bacteria; Pseudomonadati; Bacteroidota; Flavobacteriia; Flavobacteriales; Flavobacteriaceae
Description: bacterial SSU rRNA
Rfam family: Bacterial small subunit ribosomal RNA
Source: RNAcentral